GACGAACGCUGGCGGCGUGCUUAACACAUGCAAGUCGAACGGUGAAGCGCCUUCCUUUUUGGUGGGUGUGGAUGAGUGGCGAACGGGUGAGUAACACGUGAGUAACCUGCCCCCUUCUUCUGGAUAACCGCAUGAAAGUGUGGCUAAUACGGGAUAUUCUGGGUCUGUCGCAUGAUGGGUCUGGGAAAGAUAUUGUUUCGGUGGGGGAUGGGCUCGCGGCCUAUCAGCUUUUGGUGGGGUGAUGGCCUACCAAGGCGGUGACGGGUAGCCGGCCUGAGAGGGUGGACGGUCACACUGGGACUGAGACACGGCCCAGACUCCUACGGGAGGCAGCAGUGGGGAAUAUUGCACAAUGGGCGCAAGCCUGAUGCAGCGACGCCGCGUGAGGGAUGGAGGCCUUCGGGUUGUGAACCUCUUUCGCCAGUGAAGCAGGCCUGCCUCGUUUGUGGGUGGGUUGACGGUAGCUGGAUAAGAAGCGCCGGCUAACUACGUG
This 493-nucleotide ribosomal RNA is filed under the name uncultured bacterium. RNAcentral describes it as "partial 16S ribosomal RNA". It matches the Rfam family "Bacterial small subunit ribosomal RNA", at positions 28 to 507 of the family's 1533-position model. The record is from RNAcentral.